This 377-nucleotide ribosomal RNA is filed under the name uncultured bacterium. RNAcentral's name for it is "bacterial SSU rRNA". It matches the Rfam family "Bacterial small subunit ribosomal RNA", at positions 28 to 404 of the family's 1533-position model. The record is from RNAcentral.
GACGAACGCUGGCGGCGUGCUUAACACAUGCAAGUCGAGCGGUAAGGCCCUUUCGGGGGUACACGAGCGGCGAACGGGUGAGUAACACGUGGGUGACCUGCCCUCAGCUCUGGGAUAAGCCUGGGAAACUGGGUCUAAUACUGGAUAUGACUCCACGGUGCAUGUCGUGGGGUGGAAAGCCUUGUGCGGCUGAGGAUGGGCCCGCGGCCUAUCAGCUUGUUGGUGGGGUGANGGCCUACCAAGGCGACGACGGGUAGCCGGCCUGAGAGGGCGACCGGCCACACUGGGACAGAGACACGGCCCAGACUCCUACGGGAGGCAGCAGGUGGGGAAUCUUGCGCAAGUGGGCGAAAGCCUGACGCAGCGACGCCGCGUGA